RNAcentral lists this ribosomal RNA (623 nucleotides) under Ralstonia sp. enrichment culture. Its description in RNAcentral is "bacterial SSU rRNA". It matches the Rfam family "Bacterial small subunit ribosomal RNA", at positions 8 to 626 of the family's 1533-position model. The record is from RNAcentral. Lineage: Bacteria; Pseudomonadati; Pseudomonadota; Betaproteobacteria; Burkholderiales; Burkholderiaceae.
AGAGUUUGAUCCUGGCUCAGAUUGAACGCUGGCGGCAUGCCUUACACAUGCAAGUCGAACGGCAGCGCGGACUUCGGUCUGGCGGCGAGUGGCGAACGGGUGAGUAAUACAUCGGAACGUACCCUGUUGUGGGGGAUAACUAGUCGAAAGAUUAGCUAAUACCGCAUACGACCUGAGGGUGAAAGCGGGGGACCGCAAGGCCUCGCGCAGCAGGAGCGGCCGAUGUCUGAUUAGCUAGUUGGUGGGGUAAAGGCCCACCAAGGCGACGAUCAGUAGCUGGUCUGAGAGGACGAUCAGCCACACUGGGACUGAGACACGGCCCAGACUCCUACGGGAGGCAGCAGUGGGGAAUUUUGGACAAUGGGGGCAACCCUGAUCCAGCAAUGCCGCGUGUGUGAAGAAGGCCUUCGGGUUGUAAAGCACUUUUGUCCGGAAAGAAAACGCUCUGGUUAAUACCUGGAGUGGAUGACGGUACCGGAAGAAUAAGCACCGGCUAACUACGUGCCAGCAGCCGCGGUAAUACGUAGGGUGCGAGCGUUAAUCGGAAUUACUGGGCGUAAAGCGUGCGCAGGCGGUUUUGUAAGACAGGCGUGAAAUCCCCGAGCUCAACUUGGGAAUUGCGC